CACACAAAUACAACCCUUGAUUGUUUGAUCCCAUAUUUACAAUCAGUUACACACAACAUAUCUGCCAUACAUGCACACACACAUACAUCUGUAGCUUAUAAUGCCCCAGGUCCAGACUAUAUAACACAUGGUAGUGCAUGCAGGCACACACACCAUUGCGUUAUAUUGCAUUACAUAAAAAAUCACAAUCACACUGUGACACAAAUCUAUAUGCUUCCCCACAUCAUCACAUACACACUGUUACCACAGACUCUCAGGCAUACACUACCUUCACAAUCUAUAUAAGAGGGAGGGAAAAAUGAGACACAAAGAGAAAUAAAUGGAGGGAGAGACAGAGAAAGAGAGAGAGGAAAAAAAAAAGACAAUUGUUGAGGAUUGUAUUAGUAAGUUCCUCCCACCAGAGGGCUCCACUCCAACACAUUGGCAUUCUAUCUGCACUGUCUCCUCUUUCUCUCCUCUGUCUUGCGCACGCAAAGGCGCACGCGCAUGCACACAGACACACACACAUUAUGACAUCAUUGAUCUGGGGGGGCUGGGGAACCAAAGUAUUGGCAACGAUUACAUCAUCCUUUAGCUCAGCCAAUCCUUGCAGAUAGCCAACCUAUGUGUAGGUGUGUGUGUGUGUGUGUGUGUGUGUGUGUGUGUGUGUGUUCACACAUCUAUAGGUCAGAAUCAUCCAUUUGCAUGAGAGGUGAAGGAGGACAUAAAGAGAAAUAAAGGAGACAAAGCAAAAGGACAAAGAAAGAUGCAAGUAGCAUCAAUAAAGGGAUAAGGCUAGAGGAGCUGCGGAGAGAAAAGCGAGAGAAAGAAAGAAUGAAAGAAAGAAAGCAUUGGCAAAAUUUGAGGAACACCUGUACAGUUAUCUAAUCAGCCAAUCAUGGCAGCAGUGUAACGCAAAAUAUCAUGUGGAUACAGGUCCUCUCCAAUGCCUAGAGCGAGUCCGUCUUUGGUCCACUGGACGAUGCCCGUGUAGUUAAACACCACACAGGAGAGUACAACCCGCUCCCCCAACACCACCGACUGAUCUGCUGGCUCCU
Molecule: long non-coding RNA, 1037 nt
Organism: Pangasianodon hypophthalmus (striped catfish)
Lineage: Eukaryota; Metazoa; Chordata; Actinopteri; Siluriformes; Pangasiidae
Exons: 3
Source: RefSeq, a predicted model, not a curated record